RNAcentral lists this ribosomal RNA (183 nucleotides) under Myotis sodalis (Indiana bat). RNAcentral describes it as "partial 16S ribosomal RNA". The record is from RNAcentral. Lineage: Eukaryota; Metazoa; Chordata; Mammalia; Chiroptera; Vespertilionidae.
AGAAGCAAUAAUGUUAAUAUGAGUAACAAGAAAAUUUUCUCCUUGCAUGAGUGUAUAUCAGAACGAAUGAUGCACUGGUAGUUAACAAAUACAGACAUAACUAGCUAACUAAAAUCUUAAUACAACUGUUAGUCCAACACAGGCAUGCACCCAGGAAGAUAAAAGAAGUAAAAGGAACUCGGC